UACAGAGGUCCCGAGCGUUGUUCGGAUUCACUGGGCGUAAAGGGUGUGUAGGCGGUUGUUUAAGUUUGGUGUGAAAUCUCCCGGCUCAACUGGGAGGGUGCGCCGAAUACUGAAUGACUUGGAGUGCGGGAGAGGAAAGUGGAAUUCCUGGUGUAGCGGUGAAAUGCGUAGAUAUCAGGAGGAACACCGGUGGUGUAGACGGCUUUCUGGACCGUAACUGACGCUGAGACACGAAAGCGUGGGUAGCAAACAGG
Molecule: ribosomal RNA, 254 nt
Filed under: uncultured bacterium
Lineage: Bacteria
Description: partial 16S ribosomal RNA
Rfam family: Bacterial small subunit ribosomal RNA
Source: RNAcentral